Molecule: long non-coding RNA, 927 nt
Organism: Nannospalax galili (Upper Galilee mountains blind mole rat)
Lineage: Eukaryota; Metazoa; Chordata; Mammalia; Rodentia; Spalacidae
Exons: 2
Source: RefSeq, a predicted model, not a curated record
CAGGCCUUGAGUUCACUUGAGGAGCUAGCAUGGCCAACAAUGCUGACCUGGGCCUCUACCGUCAGGCAGUCCUCCACUUCAUCAGCCGUGAGUCCAUCCAGGGCCAGUUGGCAGGGUGGGGAAGCUCACAGCUUGAUGAGGAAUGACAGGCUGAGCUUGCAGAUCUGAAAGAGUGUGAAGAGAUGCCUCCAAAUCCCAACACUGCCACUUACUAGCUGCAUGACCUUAUACUGGCUAUGCAGUGUCUCUGGACCUCAGCUGGUCUGGUCUGUGAAAUGAAGACAAUAUCUUUCUCACCAGGGUCACAUGGAAAAGAUAACAUCAGUUUUAACACAACACCAGGAGUUAGCCUUGGCUGGCUUACAUUCAGCAUGCCUGGCCCCCUGGGUGCAGGUCUGUGCAGAAGGGACCCAAGCCUUUUAAAAGAAAAACAACAAAUAGUAAAUUUACUUGUAUUUUUGAGAUAGGAUCUUGUUAUAGUCCAGAAUAGCCUUGAACUCUCAAUCCUCCUGCCUCUGUCUCUCAGGCAUGGGCCCAGAUGAGCCCAGCCUUUUGACAGCAACAUCAUCAUUACAUUAUUAUGCUGUGCAUUAAUUUUCUCAUUACUGUAUCCAAAUACAUGAUAAGAAGCUGCUAUGGGAGGAAGGCAAUGAGGUGGGGACAGGCUGUGGUGACAGGAAUGGUGAGGCUCCUUCCUUACAGCUCUGGGGACUAGGAAGUCAAGAUAGGACAGGAAAUGAGCAGGGCUAUUAACCUCAAAGUCAUCCACCCCAACCCCCAGGUCCACUUCCUACACCUAGACUCCAACUCCUUAAAGAUUCCAAAACUUUCCAAUACAGUAACCCCAGGCUGAGGCAGGAGGAUCUUAAGUUCAAGGUCAAUGUGGCUACACAGAAGACCCUAUCUCAACAAACAAACAAACAAACA